This 301-nucleotide ribosomal RNA is filed under the name uncultured bacterium. Its description in RNAcentral is "partial 16S ribosomal RNA". It matches the Rfam family "Bacterial small subunit ribosomal RNA", at positions 509 to 807 of the family's 1533-position model. The record is from RNAcentral.
CAGUAGCCACGGUAAGACGAACCGUGCGAACGUUAUUCGGAAUCACUGGGCUUAAAGCGCGUGUAGGCGGAUGGGAGCGUCGGCCUCUGAAAUCCCCCGGCUCAACCGGGGAAGUGGAGCCGAAACGACCCGUCUGGAGGGACGUAGGGGGACCUGGAACUUCCGGUGGAGCGGUGAAAUGCGUUGAGAUCGGAAGGAACGCCCGUGGCGAAAGCGAGGUCCUGGACGUCUGCUGACGCUGAGACGCGAAAGCCAGAGGAGCGAACGGGAUUAGAUACCCCCGUAGUCCCUGUCUCUUAUA